GGUCGUGUGGCGCAAUGGUAGCGCGUUACUUUCCGGUUCAGUAACUCCGCUGGUAAAGGUUCUGGGUUCGAGUCCCAGCAUGAUCG
This 86-nucleotide transfer RNA is filed under the name Madurella mycetomatis. It matches the Rfam family "tRNA". Rfam says of the family: Transfer RNA (tRNA) molecules are approximately 80 nucleotides in length. Their secondary structure includes four short double-helical elements and three loops (D, anti-codon, and T loops). Lineage: Eukaryota; Fungi; Ascomycota; Sordariomycetes; Sordariales. The record is from Rfam by way of RNAcentral.